GCCUCCUUAAUUCAGUUGGUAGAAUAUUUGCAUGGUAAGCAAAAAGUCGCCGGUUCAAAUCCGGCAGGAGGCU
This 73-nucleotide transfer RNA is filed under the name Pleurastrosarcina brevispinosa. RNAcentral's name for it is "Chlorosarcina brevispinosa tRNA-Thr". It matches the Rfam family "tRNA". From Rfam's summary of the family: Transfer RNA (tRNA) molecules are approximately 80 nucleotides in length. Their secondary structure includes four short double-helical elements and three loops (D, anti-codon, and T loops). Further hydrogen bonds mediate the characteristic L-shaped molecular structure. tRNAs have two regions of fundamental functional importance: the anti-codon, which is responsible for specific mRNA codon recognition, and the 3' end, to which the tRNAs corresponding amino acid is attached (by aminoacyl-tRNA synthetases). tRNAs cope with the degeneracy of the genetic code in two manners: having more than one tRNA (with a specific anti-codon) for a particular amino acid; and 'wobble' base-pairing, i.e. permitting non-standard base-pairing at the 3rd anti-codon position. Lineage: Eukaryota; Viridiplantae; Chlorophyta; Trebouxiophyceae. The record is from RNAcentral.